CUCCAACGAGCGCAAUGGACGAAAGUCUGACGGAGCAAUGCCGCGUGAGUGAAGAAGGUUUUCGGAUCGUAAAACUCUGUUGUUAGAGAAGAACAAGGAUGAGAGUAACUGCUCAUCCCCUGACGGUAUCUAACCAGAAAGCCACGGCUAACUACGUGCCAGCAGCCGCGGUAAUACGUAGGUGGCAAGCGUUGUCCGGAUUUAUUGGGCGUAAAGCGAGCGCAGGCGGUUCUUUAAGUCUGAUGUGAAAGCCCCCGGCUCAACCGGGGAGGGUCAUUGGAAACUGGAGAACUUGAGUGCAGAAGAGGAGAGUGGAAUUCCACGUGUAGCGGUGAAAUGCGUAGAUAUGUGGAGGAACACCAGUGGCGAAGGCGACUCUCUGGUC
Molecule: ribosomal RNA, 385 nt
Filed under: uncultured bacterium
Lineage: Bacteria
Description: bacterial SSU rRNA
Rfam family: Bacterial small subunit ribosomal RNA
Source: RNAcentral